UACAGAGGGUGCAAGCGUUGUUCGGAAUUAUUGGGCAUAAAGCGCGUGUAGGCGGUGAUGCAUGUCGGGUGUGAAAGCCCUCAGCUUAACUGAGGAAGUGCGCCCGAAACUGCAUCGCUGGAGUGUCGGAGAGGAAGGCGGAAUUCCCGGUGUAGAGGUGAAAUUCGUAGAUAUCGGGAGGAACACCAGUGGCGAAGGCGGCCUUCUGGACGAACACUGACGCUGAGACGCGAAAGCGUGGGUAGCAAACAGG
This 253-nucleotide ribosomal RNA is filed under the name uncultured bacterium. RNAcentral describes it as "partial 16S ribosomal RNA". It matches the Rfam family "Bacterial small subunit ribosomal RNA", at positions 524 to 776 of the family's 1533-position model. The record is from RNAcentral.